Molecule: ribosomal RNA, 1281 nt
Filed under: Staphylococcus aureus
Lineage: Bacteria; Bacillati; Bacillota; Bacilli; Caryophanales; Staphylococcaceae
Description: partial 23S ribosomal RNA
Rfam family: Bacterial large subunit ribosomal RNA
Source: RNAcentral
CCGUACCGCAAACCGACACAGGUAGUCAAGAUGAGAAUUCUAAGGUGAGCGAGCGAACUCUCGUUAAGGAACUCGGCAAAAUGACCCCGUAACUUCGGGAGAAGGGGUGCUCUUUAGGGUUAACGCCCAGAAGAGCCGCAGUGAAUAGGCCCAAGCGACUGUUUAUCAAAAACACAGGUCUCUGCUAAACCGUAAGGUGAUGUAUAGGGGCUGACGCCUGCCCGGUGCUGGAAGGUUAAGAGGAGUGGUUAGCUUCUGCGAAGCUACGAAUCGAAGCCCCAGUAAACGGCGGCCGUAACUAUAACGGUCCUAAGGUAGCGAAAUUCCUUGUCGGGUAAGUUCCGACCCGCACGAAAGGCGUAACGAUUUGGGCACUGUCUCAACGAGAGACUCGGUGAAAUCAUAGUACCUGUGAAGAUGCAGGUUACCCGCGACAGGACGGAAAGACCCCGUGGAGCUUUACUGUAGCCUGAUAUUGAAAUUCGGCACAGCUUGUACAGGAUAGGUAGGAGCCUUUGAAACGUGAGCGCUAGCUUACGUGGAGGCGCUGGUGGGAUACUACCCUAGCUGUGUUGGCUUUCUAACCCGCACCACUUAUCGUGGUGGGAGACAGUGUCAGGCGGGCAGUUUGACUGGGGCGGUCGCCUCCUAAAAGGUAACGGAGGCGCUCAAAGGUUCCCUCAGAAUGGUUGGAAAUCAUUCAUAGAGUGUAAAGGCAUAAGGGAGCUUGACUGCGAGACCUACAAGUCGAGCAGGGUCGAAAGACGGACUUAGUGAUCCGGUGGUUCCGCAUGGAAGGGCCAUCGCUCAACGGAUAAAAGCUACCCCGGGGAUAACAGGCUUAUCUCCCCCAAGAGUUCACAUCGACGGGGAGGUUUGGCACCUCGAUGUCGGCUCAUCGCAUCCUGGGGCUGUAGUCGGUCCCAAGGGUUGGGCUGUUCGCCCAUUAAAGCGGUACGCGAGCUGGGUUCAGAACGUCGUGAGACAGUUCGGUCCCUAUCCGUCGUGGGCGUAGGAAAUUUGAGAGGAGCUGUCCUUAGUACGAGAGGACCGGGAUGGACAUACCUCUGGUGUACCAGUUGUCGUGCCAACGGCAUAGCUGGGUAGCUAUGUGUGGACGGGAUAAGUGCUGAAAGCAUCUAAGCAUGAAGCCCCCCUCAAGAUGAGAUUUCCCAACUUCGGUUAUAAGAUCCCUCAAAGAUGAUGAGGUUAAUAGGUUCGAGGUGGAAGCAUGGUGACAUGUGGAGCUGACGAAUACUAAUCGAUCGAAGACUUAAUCAA